UAUUAUACUGAUAAAUAUUUUAUAAAUCUUAAUUAUUAAUAGAUAUAUUCUUUAAAUUUGAAGAAUUUGGCGGUAAUUUAGUCUUGUUAGAGGAACCUGUUUUUGAAUCGAUAAUCCACGUAAAAUCUUACUUAUCAUUAAUGAAAGUUUAUAUACCAUCAUUGUCAGAUAAUUUUUAGAAAAUUAAUUAUUAAAGUUUAAAUUGAGUUAAUUUAAAUUAGAUCAAGGUGUAGCCUAUAGAUAAGUUAAAAUGGGUUACAAUAAAAUUUAUUUAGAACGGAAUAAGUAUAAGAAAUUAGCUUAUAGAAGGAGGAUUUAAUUGUAAUGAAAGUUUAAUAAGCUAAAAAGAUAUAAGCUCUAGAUUAU
This 366-nucleotide ribosomal RNA is filed under the name Glyptoplax pugnax. RNAcentral's name for it is "partial 12S small subunit ribosomal RNA". The record is from RNAcentral. Lineage: Eukaryota; Metazoa; Arthropoda; Malacostraca; Decapoda; Panopeidae.